RNAcentral lists this ribosomal RNA (567 nucleotides) under uncultured bacterium. RNAcentral's name for it is "partial 16S ribosomal RNA". It matches the Rfam family "Bacterial small subunit ribosomal RNA", at positions 355 to 940 of the family's 1533-position model. The record is from RNAcentral.
UGGGGAAUAUUGCACAAUGGGCGAAAGCCUGAUGCAGCAACGCCGCGUGAGUGAUGAAGGCCUUCGGGUUGUAAAGCUCUGUCUUUUGGGACGAUAAUGACGGUACCAAAGGAGGAAGCCACGGCUAACUACGUGCCAGCAGCCGCGGUAAUACGUAGGUGGCAAGCGUUGUCCGGAUUUACUGGGCGUAAAGGAUGCGUAGGCGGAUUUUUAAGUGAGAUGUGAAAACCCUAAGCUUAACUUGGGGACUGCAUUUCAUACUGGAAAUCUAGAGUGCGGGAGAGGAGAAUGGAAUUCCUAGUGUAGCGGUGAAAAUGCGUAGAGAUUAGGAAGAACACCAGUGGCGAAGGCGAUUCUCUGGACCGUAACUGACGCUGAGGCAUGAAAAGCGUGGGUAGCAAACAGGAUUAGAUACCCUGGUAGUCCACGCCGUAAACGAUGAGUACUAGGUGUAGGAGGUAUCGACCCCUUCUGUGCCGCAGUUAACACAAUAAGUACUCCGCCUGGGAAGUACGAUCGCAAGAUUAAAACUCAAAUGAAUUGACGGGGGUCAUAGCUGUUUUUCCU